GAUUAAGUACCCGCAAAAACUCGAUCCGUUGCCAUCCCUAUCCCCACCAAGAAUAACGAUGGAAGUGGUAAAGAAAUUUAGAUGAGGAUAGAUUCUCUCAAUCAAGAGCAUGUCACUAACCUUACUGAGAAAUUAUAAUGGAGUCUACAAAUUGCCCAUAAAAAAGGACGAUUGAUAAAAUUCGAACUCUCAACCUUAGAGACGGAUCCCUUAAAGAGAC
RNAcentral lists this unclassified non-coding RNA (220 nucleotides) under Hevea brasiliensis (rubber tree). Lineage: Eukaryota; Viridiplantae; Streptophyta; Magnoliopsida; Malpighiales; Euphorbiaceae. The record is from RNAcentral.